AGCAAAAAUGUUUUCUCUGAUAGUGUUGAAAUCAAUGGUGAGGUUGUAAAUGAAGAUCUUUGGUGUGGGAAGGUGGUGGGAGAGCAUGGUCAUGUGUUGCAACUAUGACACAGCGUUUGUUAAAGAAAACACCCACUCCACAGGCAAGAGAGAGAUACUGAAGAAGAAAACUCUGCUGGAAUUUUUUUUGAUAAAAGCGAAGCUGAAAUACACAGAUUUGAG
Molecule: unclassified non-coding RNA, 222 nt
Filed under: Hevea brasiliensis (rubber tree)
Lineage: Eukaryota; Viridiplantae; Streptophyta; Magnoliopsida; Malpighiales; Euphorbiaceae
Source: RNAcentral